AUUGAACGCUGGCGGCAGGCCUAACACAUGCAAGUCGAGCGGAUGAGUGGAGCUUGCUCCAUGAUUCAGCGGCGGACGGGUGAGUAAUGCCUAGGAAUCUGCCUGGUAGUGGGGGACAACGUUUCGAAAGGAACGCUAAUACCGCAUACGACCUACGGGAGAAAGCAGGGGACCUUCGGGCCUUGCGCUAUCAGAUGGGCCUAGGUCGGAUUAGCUAGUAGGUGGGGUAAUGGCCCACCUAGGCGACGAUCCGUAACUGGUCUGAGAGGAUGAUCAGUCACACUGGAACUGAGACACGGUCCAGACUCCUACGGGAGGCAGCAGUGGGGAAUAUUGGACAAUGGGCGAAAGCCUGAUCCAGCCAUGCCGCGUGUGUGAAGAAGGUCUUCGGAUUGUAAAGCACUUUAAGUUGGGAGGAAGGGCAGUAAGUUAAUACCUUGCUGUUUUGACGUUACCAACAGAAUAAGCACCGGCUAACUUCGUGCCAGCCGCCGCGGUAA
This 500-nucleotide ribosomal RNA is filed under the name uncultured bacterium. Its description in RNAcentral is "partial 16S ribosomal RNA". It matches the Rfam family "Bacterial small subunit ribosomal RNA", at positions 30 to 523 of the family's 1533-position model. The record is from RNAcentral.